RNAcentral lists this ribosomal RNA (439 nucleotides) under uncultured Roseburia sp. RNAcentral's name for it is "bacterial SSU rRNA". It matches the Rfam family "Bacterial small subunit ribosomal RNA", at positions 338 to 792 of the family's 1533-position model. The record is from RNAcentral. Lineage: Bacteria; Bacillati; Bacillota; Clostridia; Lachnospirales; Lachnospiraceae.
CCUACGGGAGGCAGCAGUGGGGAAUAUUGCACAAUGGGGGAAACCCUGAUGCAGCGACGCCGCGUGAGCGAAGAAGUAUUUCGGUAUGUAAAGCUCUAUCAGCAGGGAAGAAGAAAUGACGGUACCUGACUAAGAAGCACCGGCUAAAUACGUGCCAGCAGCCGCGGUAAUACGUAUGGUGCAAGCGUUAUCCGGAUUUACUGGGUGUAAAGGGAGCGCAGGCGGAAGGCUAAGUCUGAUGUGAAAGCCCGGGGCUCAACCCCGGUACUGCAUUGGAAACUGGUCAUCUAGAGUGUCGGAGGGGUAAGUGGAAUUCCUAGUGUAGCGGUGAAAUGCGUAGAUAUUAGGAGGAACACCAGUGGCGAAGGCGGCUUACUGGACGAUAACUGACGCUGAGGCUCGAAAGCGUGGGGAGCAAACAGGAUUAGAUACCCGAGUA